UCGGGAUUUAAAAGUACAAUAGUGGGACAGCAGGUUGAGCUGUCAAAAGCAGGACUGUCCCGCUGAAAAUGGGACAGUUAGGAGGUAUGGUUCAACCACCUGUCGCAGUUCCUGUGGGACCUCCUCCUUCCUCUGCUUUGGGUAAUAUGAGUAAUCCCCAUGAACCUAAAAUUUCCAUUCCCGACAACUUUAAUGGGGACAAGAGUGGUGGCAGUUACAUCCUUGGAGGGGUUACCUUUCCCAUAUGCUGAAUUUUCUGAUGUGUUCUCAAAAAAACCCGCUAUCCUCUUCUGCUAAUGUCUGAGUUAUUUGAUCAAGUCAAGAAUGCCACCAUCUACACCAAGCUUCAUCUUAGAGGUGCACCUAACAAAGAAUUUGCACUACAUUACUAACUGAGUUUGGUACUACCUCAGCCCAACACAGAAGGAAUAGAUAGGGGCUCCCAUUUCACAUGAAAACAUCCUGGAAUUCAUCAAAGCCUCAGAGCCAGGCAAAGAACCAAGCCUGAUGGCUACACAGCUAGAUACUAUAAACAUUUUCCAAAGAUACUCUCCCCACAGCUCCCUUUGUGGUUCCAGUCUCUCCUUGAGGAACAUCCCCCAACACUUCUCAUGCAGGUUGCUAACAUUUCCAUGAUUCACAAAGAAGGGAAAGAUCCAUCAAAUUGUGAAUGCUACACCCUGACCAGGUGGACUUUAUUCCAGGUAUAUCAAGGUCAAUUUAUAGAUCAGUGCCACCGAUUAAAAAACAAAUAAUAUACCCUAGCACAAUAUUGCUAGUAUUCAGUGAAGUCACCAGAGUGUUGCAACACAAACCUGUGUGUUUUGAACCAUAGAAAUCUGAGAAAUCAGAGAAUCUGUACAGAUUUUUCUUAUGUAUUCUAAAAUGCUAUAGUGGUUUUUACAAUGUGCUAUUUCCAAAAUAAAGUUAUAAUGAACUAAAA
Long non-coding RNA from Xenopus laevis (African clawed frog), 943 nucleotides. RefSeq lists it as uncharacterized. The transcript is spliced from 2 exons. Lineage: Eukaryota; Metazoa; Chordata; Amphibia; Anura; Pipidae. The record is from RefSeq and is a predicted model, not a curated record.